UGUACUACCGGGGGCGGGGCUGCCAAGGGAGGAGGAAGAUGGCGGCGGGGGCGAGGUGAGGUGUUGGCAGUGGAAAGGGGUUCGGGCGUGGGGGGCGGGGGCCGCGGGGAGAUGGCCCGCUCCGGCCGCAGGGGCGGAUAAAAAGCCGUCACGCCGCGGGAGCGGGCGGGAGGGAGAGAGGGUGCCCGAGCGCCACAAGAGUAUGACGGGGCUGUACGAGUUGGUGUGGCGGGUGCUGCACGCGCUGUUCUGCCUGCACCGCACGCUCACCUCCUGGCUCCGCGUUCGGUUCGGCACCUGGAACUGGAUCUGGCGGCGCUGCUGCCGCGCCGUCUCUGCCGCGGUCCUAGCGCCACUCGGCUUCACGCUCCGCAAGUCCCAGGCGAUCGGCAGGAACCGCCGUUACCAUAGGCACCCACGCGGGGGGUCGUGCCUGGCCGCUGCCCAUCACCGGCUGCGCUGGCGCGCGGACGGCCGUUCCCUGGAGAAGCUGCCUAUGCACAUGGGCCUGGUGUUCACCGAGGUGGAGCAGGAGCCCAGCUUCUCGGAUAUCGCAAGCCUCGUGGUGUGGUGUAUGGCCGUGGGCAUUUCCUACAUUAGCGUCUACGACCACCAAGGUAUUUUCAAAAGAAAUAAUUCCCGAUUGAUGGAUGAAAUUUUAAAACAACAACAAGAACUUCUGGGCCUAGAUUGUUCAAAAUAUUCACCAGAGUUUGCAAAUAGUAAUGACAAAGAUGAUCAAGUUUUAAAUUGCCAUUUGGCAGUGAAGGUGCUGUCCGCGGAAGAUGGAAAAGCAGAUAUUGUGAGAGCUGCUCAGGACUUUUGCCAGUUAGUAGCCCAGAAACAAAAGAGACCCACAGAUUUGGAUGUAGAUAUGUUAGGCAGUUUACUUAGUUCAAAUGGUUGUCCUGAUCCUGAUUUAGUAUUGAAGUUUGGUCCUGUGGACAGCACAUUAGGCUUUCUUCCCUGGCACAUCAGAUUGACUGAGAUUGUGUAAGGAAAACAGGAAAGAGACAUUGUUCAGGCUUGUCACAAAGUGAGUUAGAACCCAGAUCUCCAGACUCAGAGUUUCUUUAUGCUCUUUGCCUUCCCACCUAAACAUCAGUUAUGAGGACUUUUUCUCUGCCCUUCGUCAAUAUGCAGCCUGUGAACAGCGGCUGGGAAAGUAGUGGUCAUAGGUUGCAUAAUUUGAUUUUAGGGUUAUGGAGGAAAGGAUCCAAGUGACUCUGAUGUUUACAAAGCACCCCCUACACACCUAGUUCAUAAUCCUCAUAAUUUAUCAGCAAAUACAAAAAAGUGUCUUACUUGAGAUUGAGUGUGUGUGUGUGUGUGUGCGCGUGUGCACGUGCACACAUGUGCACGUUUGUAUGUGUGGAAAUAAACUUAUAAAUGGGGAUGUAUUAGAGAAGGAAAUACAUACACCUACAACUUUGAGCAGAUAGCAGCGAUGUUUUAGGAACUGGAAUGUCACACUUAACAUCUUCAGCCCCAGCUACUUCCCUGUUUUUGUGGGGAGUAGAGGGCCUGAUAGAACUUUUCAGGUUGUGUUUGAUGGGAGGGGAAUAAUUUUUGUUCAGUCCUUCUUAGUGACCAAACUUUAAUUUUUAAGAAUAAUAUAUUGACUUACUGAAUUGAAGCAUUCUGAGUUUAAAGGAGCUCCAGAGGAAUGGAGUUUUGUGUUGCUCUUGUGUUAAAAGCUUGCUCACCUUCAGAGAGAGCAGAGGGAAUACCUAUCUUCAUAUAUCCGUCCAUUUUCAUCUCUUUAUUACAGUCACAGUGUGACUUGAGAGUGUUGCUCUGGUGUCUGUAUUCUGGGUUAUGAAACUCUUACUGCAUUGAAAUAUAGACUUUAAAAAAUUUAAAUAUUGGUAGGCAGUCAAAAAAAGCAAACAAGCAUAAAAGGUGAAUAUGUUGUAAUCUUAAAAGAUGGAGAACUCAUUUAAAAAGGAAAGAAGGUUUUGAUUUCCUUUUUUGUUUGAUGGGCAGCAUGCUGUAUCAUACCCAAAGUUGGUUUAAAAAGUAUUUCCAUCAACUAUUUUUAUUUAAAAUAAACAUUUGAGGGAAGUUACUAAGGCAGCUUUUUUCCUCAAAAGUAACCUGGUUACUCUUUGGAAUAGCACAUUUUAGGGCCAUGGUUAAUACCUGAGACUUUUACUCAGUAAGUCCUGAUGAUUACUGUGUAUAAAAGGAUUGAAGGCCUGUGUGGGGAAUAAAAUAUUACCAAAGUCUAUCAAAAUAAAUUUUACAUGUUCUCUUUUAUGACAGAGAGCAGCACUGGUUCUGUUAUUUUUAAAAUGAAUAAUUGAUUUCUUUUUUUUUUUUUUUGAGACAGAGUUUCGCUCUUGUUACCCAGGCUGGAGUGCAGUGGCGCGAUCUCGGCUCACCGCAACCUCUGCCCCCUGGGUUCAGGCAAUUCUCCUGCCUCAGCCUCCUGAGUAGCUGGGAUUACAGGCACGCGCCACCGUGCCCAGCUAAUUUUUUGUAAUUUUUAGUAGAGACAGGGUUUCACCAUGUUGACCAGGAUGGUCUCGAUCUGUUGACCUCGUGAUCCACCCGCCUUGGCCUCCCAAAGUGCUGGGAUUACAGGCUUGAGCCACUGCGAAUAAUUGAUUUCUUGAUAUGUGUCUAAUAUUUCUUCCCUCACUGCUGAUUCUUAGAUAGAAACCAUUCUUUAUAUUUGAUAGACUGUUUUCAGAAAACCCUUAUCAACAAGUGUAUAGUAGUUUUCUAAAACCUUACAUUUAGAAUGGAGCAGUUUAAUACUAGAUCUCAGAAGUUUGAAAAUAGCAAAGAAGAUUGGAUUUGAAAAGCAUGGUCUACAAUUCCUUGUAAAAUUCUGAAGCUAUGAAGGAUAAAUGUUUCAACGCUGGAUUAUGAAACCCCAUUUAUGAUUUUUAAAAUACACUUGAAAUAAAAAUGAUUAAACUAAAUUUUGGUCCAGUGACAUUACUUUGCACUGCAUCGUCCAUUAUACAUUGUGUAAGACUUUGUUUCUGUUUUAAUUUAUUACUGAGAGUUUUGUGUGAAGCUACAGCAUAUCUAAUUAGAGAAUUUGUUUGCUUAUACUGUAUACUGUGAUUUAUGUUAUAUUGAGGCAUUUCUAGUGCAGCUUGAGACUGAAUUUAUGCGUUUUAUAAACAUGAUAGGUAUAAAUGUCUUAUAAACAUUCUGGAGUAUGUAUAGCUUUAAUGAAUGAAAUGUAAUGGACCUGAUAAAAAUGAAGGUUUUUAAUCUUUGUUAAAGGGAAGUUAGUCAAAUAUAUUACCUACUGGAAUAUAGCCCAAGCCACUAAAGGUUCAAUAUUUGCGUUUUUGUACUUUUAUUUUCUCAUUCCAUUCAUAAGUAUAUACUUGAAAGUACAUCUGUAGCCUGUGACUUCGGUUUCUUCAAGUUCUAGGAAGAGACCCUUACCACAAACUACUAGGAUUCUGAUUUCAAUUAUAGGCAUUCCAGAACCUUCUCUUUAUGAGUUCGCCUGCUAGUACAGUCUCUACAGCUUGAAUGCCAUUGGUUGUUCUAUACUUCCUGCCAAAAUCAUCACAAGUUGUACAUCAUCAAGGCUCCCUUUCCACUCCCAAGAAAAACUGAUAAUUUUAAACAAAAGUAUGUGUCUUUAUUUAUAUUGGAAUAUACUGUCUUUAAAUUGUUUCUUCUUGACAAUCUCCACAAUGAAAAUAUUAUACCAAAUUAAACCUAUUUUAUGUAUGGCAGCUUGGAGCAUAGCAGGAAGUUAGAUGAUUUGAAUUCCAUUCCCAGUUCUCAUUGUGUUUUGUUUCUUAAAACUAUAAUAAUUGGUUACUGUUACAAAGUUUAAAAGGUGGUUUUAAUGUGAAUUGCAAAUUCUGGUAUAUUGUGACUGAUGCUUAAGAAUGCCUGUCUUUGAGAGGAAGGUGUUAUAAUAUUAAUGAACAGUGCCAAAUACACUGUGCAUAUCUAUAAUUUAUUCUUUGAAUGUAUGUUACUGGAUUAGCUCCCGCUUCUGUGUGAUGGUACCAUGCAUAGAGUCAAUCAAAUCCUUGUGAUGUUUUGUAUGGACUUUGACAACAUGUAAAUAAUGUGUAAAGCAAGUUUUUAUGAUUAAGGAAUCAAAUUUAUUGAAUUUUAUUAUUGAAAGUUGAAACUUAAUAUGUAUGAACAAAAAUCAAUAAAAGAAUAUACUCUUUUCAUGGAC
Molecule: RNA transcript, 4171 nt
Organism: Callithrix jacchus (white-tufted-ear marmoset)
Lineage: Eukaryota; Metazoa; Chordata; Mammalia; Primates; Cebidae
Gene: NUS1
Gene name: NUS1 dehydrodolichyl diphosphate synthase subunit
Source: RefSeq, a predicted model, not a curated record